This 205-nucleotide unclassified non-coding RNA is filed under the name Hevea brasiliensis (rubber tree). Lineage: Eukaryota; Viridiplantae; Streptophyta; Magnoliopsida; Malpighiales; Euphorbiaceae. The record is from RNAcentral.
GGACAGAGUUAUGAGGUACCUAUGUUCGUAGGAGGUAAACGGUACCUGAUGGAAUUAGUCAAGGUGAACAAGUUGGCCCGAACACUGCUAUCAUAAGAAAAAAAAACUCUGUAUGGUGAACUACAUGCAAGCUUUGUGACAUUUGUACAUUCUUUCUUUGCGAUAUAUUAGAGUCGCAGAACUCUGAUCAGUGCCUAUAUCUGGC